CGUGUAAAGAUUGUGCGUGCCGGUGGUUGGUCGUUGGAAUGGGUUCGUUAAAGUUGCUCACGAAAGUAGGUCGACUUCAGAGCACAUGAACAAUACUGUGUACACCGUCAUGCUGAUUAGUCCUACCUGAACACGUUCGAUUAAUAUGCUCAUCAGGAAAUCGAAGCUGUUUCCUUGUCGAAGUUAAGUCAGGAAGGAUCGCUUAUGGAAAUCAAUCCAUAACGAUUGAUUAAUCGAAUAUUAUCAAGGAUUUGUACUGUAAUCAGUUGGAUUGCGUGCAUCUUAAUAAGUUGCAAACUUGUUUAAUUCGAAACUACUGU
RNAcentral lists this long non-coding RNA (320 nucleotides) under Brachypodium distachyon (stiff brome). Its description in RNAcentral is "long non-coding RNA (BDIS_LNC000358)". Lineage: Eukaryota; Viridiplantae; Streptophyta; Magnoliopsida; Poales; Poaceae. The record is from RNAcentral.